ACGCCAGUGGUGUAAGGCGUAGCAUCGCUGUCCGAAAAGCAGAAGGUGCGGGUUCGAGUCCUGCCUAGUGCA
Molecule: non-coding RNA, 72 nt
Organism: Heligmosomoides polygyrus
Lineage: Eukaryota; Metazoa; Nematoda; Chromadorea; Rhabditida; Heligmosomidae
Source: Rfam